This 253-nucleotide ribosomal RNA is filed under the name uncultured bacterium. Its description in RNAcentral is "partial 16S ribosomal RNA". It matches the Rfam family "Bacterial small subunit ribosomal RNA", at positions 524 to 776 of the family's 1533-position model. The record is from RNAcentral.
UACAGAGGUCUCAAGCGUUGUUCGGAUUCAUUGGGCGUAAAGGGUGCGUAGGCGGCGCUGUAAGUCGGGUGUGAAAUCUUGGAGCUUAACUCCGAAAUUGCAUUCGAUACUGCCGUGCUUGAGGACUGGAGAGGAGACUGGAAUUCAUGGUGUAGCAGUGAAAUGCGUAGAGAUCAUGAGGAAGACCAGUGGCGAAGGCGGGUCUCUGGACAGUUCCUGACACUGAGGCACGAAGGCCAGGGGAGCAAACGGG